RNAcentral lists this ribosomal RNA (394 nucleotides) under uncultured Anaeromyxobacter sp. RNAcentral's name for it is "bacterial SSU rRNA". It matches the Rfam family "Bacterial small subunit ribosomal RNA", at positions 67 to 447 of the family's 1533-position model. The record is from RNAcentral. Lineage: Bacteria; Pseudomonadati; Myxococcota; Myxococcia; Myxococcales; Anaeromyxobacteraceae.
CGAGAAAGCCCGCAAGGGUGAGUACAGCGGCGCACGGGUGCGUAACACGUGGGUAAUCUGCCCUGGAGCCCGGAAUAACUCCCCGAAAGGGGUGCUAAUGCCGGAUGAGCCCACGGGGUCCUUGGACCCUGAGGGAAAAGGUGGCCUCUGUAUACAAGCUAUCACUUCAGGAUGAGCCCGCGGCCCAUCAGCUCGUUGGCGGGGUAAUGGCCCACCAAGGCUACGACGGGUAGCUGGUCUGAGAGGACGAUCAGCCACACUGGAACUGAGACACGGUCCAGACUCCUACGGGAGGCAGCAGUGGGGAAUCUUGCGCAAUGGGCAAAAGCCUGACGCAGCAACGCCGCGUGUGUGAUGAAGGUCUUCGGAUCGUAAAGCACUGUCGCGAGGGACG